Molecule: ribosomal RNA, 253 nt
Filed under: uncultured bacterium
Lineage: Bacteria
Description: partial 16S ribosomal RNA
Rfam family: Bacterial small subunit ribosomal RNA
Source: RNAcentral
UACGUAGGGGGCUAGCGUUGUCCGGAAUCAUUGGGCGUAAAGCGCGUGUAGGCGGUCCGGUAAGUCCGCUGUGAAAGUCGGGGGCUCAACCCUCGAAUGCCGGUGGAUACUGUCGGGCUAGAGUGCGGAAGAGGCGAGUGGAAUUCCUGGUGUAGCGGUGAAAUGCGCAGAUAUCAGGAGGAGCACCUAUUGCGAAGGCAGCUCGCUGGGACGUAACUGACGCUGAGACGCGAAAGCGUGGGGAGCGAACAGG